This 393-nucleotide ribosomal RNA is filed under the name uncultured eukaryote. Its description in RNAcentral is "SSU rRNA". It matches the Rfam family "Eukaryotic small subunit ribosomal RNA", at positions 587 to 972 of the family's 1831-position model. The record is from RNAcentral.
AGCUCCAGUAGCGUAUAUUAAAGUUGUUGCAGUUAAAAAGCUCGUAGUUGGAUUUCUGGCUAGAGCCGCCCGUCCCAUCGGCUGAUGCCGUAUGCGUGGCGAUGGUGUGCUCGGUCAUCCGCUCAUCUCGGGGGCUCUACCCUUCAUUGGGCCGGAGUUUCUCGGUUGGGCCAUUUACUUUGAAAAAAUUAGAGUGUUUAAAGCAGGCAUUUGCUGUGAAUACAUUAGCAUGGAAUAAUAAUAUAGGACUUUUGUUCUAUUUUGUUGGUUUCCUGAACGGAAGUAAUGAUUGAUAGGGAUAGUUGGGGGUGCUAGUAUUCCACGGCCAGAGGUGAAAUUCUUGGAUUCGUGGAAGACUAACUUAUGCGAAAGCAUUCACCAAGGAUAUCUUCU